This 390-nucleotide ribosomal RNA is filed under the name Triticum aestivum (bread wheat). RNAcentral describes it as "partial small subunit ribosomal RNA". Lineage: Eukaryota; Viridiplantae; Streptophyta; Magnoliopsida; Poales; Poaceae. The record is from RNAcentral.
CUGCCUCAACAGUACUGGACGCUGGAGGGCGUCCAUGAGGUGUUCGGCGACAAGGUGCGCAUCGAUCGGCUCGACAGCCGCACGCUGGAGCGCGACCACACCAAGACUUUCGCCUGCUGGGUGUGGGUCUGGGACAUGGCGUUCAUCCCCACCAGGCACACCUACUAGAAGCUCCCUCAGGGCGCCGGACGCAUCGAAGAAAUGGAGGGCCACUCGCCGCCCGAUCGGCGCGUCGCUCUGCCGCCGGGCGCCGAGCGCUACGACCUCCUCAUCCAUGUCAACAGGGUGGAAGACUGGUCCCCCCGCUCUCCGCGCUCCACUACUAGGAAAAGGCAUGCUAGUGGCGCACCAGUUUUGCCUUCUAAUGGCGCACUACUGGUGCGCCACUAG